UUGCUUUGGCAGCACAUAUACAAAAUUGGAAUGACACAGAGAAGAUGAGCAUGGCCCCUGUGUAAGGAUGACAAUGCAAAUUCAUGAAGUGUUCCAUAUUUUU
Small nuclear RNA from Lutra lutra (Eurasian river otter), 103 nucleotides. NCBI's taxonomy places the organism in Eukaryota, Metazoa, Chordata, Mammalia, Carnivora, Mustelidae. The record is from RefSeq and is a predicted model, not a curated record.